GGUUAAGCGACUAAGCGUACACGGUGGAUGCCCUGGCAGUCAGAGGCGAUGAAGGACGUGCUAAUCUGCGAAAAGCGUCGGUAAGGUGAUAUGAACCGUUAUAACCGGCGAUGUCCGAAUGGGGAAACCCAGUGUGUUUCGACACACUAUCAUUAACUGAAUCCAUAGGUUAAUGAGGCGAACCGGGGGAACUGAAACAUCUAAGUACCCCGAGGAAAAGAAAUCAACCGAGAUUCCCCCAGUAGCGGCGAGCGAACGGGGAGGAGCCCAGAGCCUGAAUCAGUGUGUGUGUUAGUGGAAGCGUCUGGAAAGGCGUGCGAUACAGGGUGACAGCCCCGUACACAAAAAUGCACAUGCUGUGAGCUCGAUGAGUAGGGCGGGACACGUGGUAUCCUGUCUGAAUAUGGGGGGACCAUCCUCCAAGGCUAAAUACUCCUGACUGACCGAUAGUGAACCAGUACCGUGAGGGAAAGGCGAAAAGAACCCCGGCGAGGGGAGUGAAAAAGAACCUGAAACCGUGUACGUACAAGCAGUGGGAGCCUCUUUAUGGGGUGACUGCGUACCUUUUGUAUAAUGGGUCAGCGACUUAUAUUCUGUAGCAAGGUUAACCGAAUAGGGGAGCCGGAGGGAAACCGAGUCUUAACUGGGCGUUAAGUUGCAGGGUAUAGACCCGAAACCCGGUGAUCUAGCCAUGGGCAGGUUGAAGGUUGGGUAACACUAACUGGAGGACCGAACCGACUAAUGUUGAAAAAUUAGCGGAUGACUUGUGGCUGGGGGUGAAAGGCCAAUCAAACCGGGAGAUAGCUGGUUCUCCCCGAAAGCUAUUUAGGUAGCGCCUCGUGAAUUCAUCUCCGGGGGUAGAGCACUGUUUCGGCAAGGGGGUCAUCCCGACUUACCAACCCGAUGCAAACUGCGAAUACCGGAGAAUGUUAUCACGGGAGACACACGGCGGGUGCUAACGUCCGUCGUGAAGAGGGAAACAACCCAGACCGCCAGCUAAGGUCCCAAAGUCAUGGUUAAGUGGGAAACGAUGUGGGAAGGCCCAGACAGCCAGGAUGUUGGCUUAGAAGCAGCCAUCAUUUAAAGAAAGCGUAAUAGCUCACUGGUCGAGUCGGCCUGCGCGGAAGAUGUAACGGGGCUAAACCAUGCACCGAAGCUGCGGCAGCGACGCUGAUGCGUUGUUGGGUAGGGGAGCGUUCUGUAAGCCUGUGAAGGUGUGCUGUGAGGCAUGCUGGAGGUAUCAGAAGUGCGAAUGCUGACAUAAAGUAACGAUAAAGCGGGUGAAAAGCCCGCUCGCCGGAAGACCAAGGGUUCCUGUCCAACGUUAAUCGGGGCAGGGUGAGUCGACCCCUAAGGCGAGGCCGAAAGGCGUAGUCGAUGGGAAACAGGUUAAUAUUCCUGUACUUGGUGUUACUGCGAAGGGGGGACGGAGAAGGCUAUGUUGGCCGGGCGACGGUUGUCCCGGUUUAAGCGUGUAGGCUGGUUUUCCAGGCAAAUCCGGAGAAUCAAGGCUGAGGCGUGAUGACGAGGCACUACGGUGCUGAAGCAACAAAUGCCCUGCUUCCAGGAAAAGCCUCUAAGCAUCAGGUAACAUCAAAUCGUACCCCAAACCGACACAGGUGGUCAGGUAGAGAAUACCAAGGCGCUUGAGAGAACUCGGGUGAAGGAACUAGGCAAAAUGGUGCCGUAACUUCGGGAGAAGGCACGCUGAUAUGUAGGUGAAGCGACUUGCUCGUGGAGCUGAAAUCAGUCGAAGAUACCAGCUGGCUGCAACUGUUUAUUAAAAACACAGCACUGUGCAAACACGAAAGUGGACGUAUACGGUGUGACGCCUGCCCGGUGCCGGAAGGUUAAUUGAUGGGGUCAGCGCAAGCGAAGCUCUUGAUCGAAGCCCCGGUAAACGGCGGCCGUAACUAUAACGGUCCUAAGGUAGCGAAAUUCCUUGUCGGGUAAGUUCCGACCUGCACGAAUGGCGUAAUGAUGGCCAGGCUGUCUCCACCCGAGACUCAGUGAAAUUGAACUCGCUGUGAAGAUGCAGUGUACCCGCGGCAAGACGGAAAGACCCCGUGAACCUUUACUAUAGCUUGACACUGAACACUGGUCCUUGAUGUGUAGGAUAGGUGGGAGGCUUUGAAGUGUGGACGCCAGUCUGCAUGGAGCCGUCCUUGAAAUACCACCCUUUAAUGGCUGGUGUUCUAACGUAGGUCCCUUAUCGGGGUUGCGGACAGUGUCUGGUGGGUAGUUUGACUGGGGCGGUCUCCUCCUAAAGAGUAACGGAGGAGCACGAAGGUUGGCUAAUCCUGGUCGGACAUCAGGAGGUUAGUGCAAUGGCAUAAGCCAGCUUGACUGCGAGCGUGACGGCGCGAGCAGGUGCGAAAGCAGGUCAUAGUGAUCCGGUGGUUCUGAAUGGAAGGGCCAUCGCUCAACGGAUAAAAGGUACUCCGGGGAUAACAGGCUGAUACCGCCCAAGAGUUCAUAUCGACGGCGGUGUUUGGCACCUCGAUGUCGGCUCAUCACAUCCUGGGGCUGAAGUAGGUCCCAAGGGUAUGGCUGUUCGCCAUUUAAAGUGGUACGCGAGCUGGGUUUAGAACGUCGUGAGACAGUUCGGUCCCUAUCUGCCGUGGGCGCUGGAGAACUGAGGGGGGCUGCUCCUAGUACGAGAGGACCGGAGUGGACGCAUCACUGGUGUUCGGGUUGUCAUGCCAAUGGCACUGCCCGGUAGCUAAAUGCGGAAGAGAUAAGUGCUGAAAGCAUCUAAGCACGAAACUUGCCCCGAGAUGAGUUCUCCCUGACCCUUUAAGGGUCCUGAAGGAACGUUGAAGACGACGACGUUGAUAGGCCGGGUGUGUAAGCGCAGCGAUGCGUUGAGCUAACCGGUACUAAUGAACCGUGAGGCUUAACCUU
RNAcentral lists this ribosomal RNA (2904 nucleotides) under Escherichia albertii. RNAcentral describes it as "23S ribosomal RNA". It matches the Rfam family "Bacterial large subunit ribosomal RNA". The record is from RNAcentral. Lineage: Bacteria; Pseudomonadati; Pseudomonadota; Gammaproteobacteria; Enterobacterales; Enterobacteriaceae.